Camelus dromedarius (Arabian camel) is the source of this 2534-nucleotide long non-coding RNA. RefSeq lists it as uncharacterized. The record is from RefSeq and is a predicted model, not a curated record. The transcript has 6 exons. NCBI's taxonomy places the organism in Eukaryota, Metazoa, Chordata, Mammalia, Artiodactyla, Camelidae.
GCAAACUCCAAGAGGCCUACCAACUAGACGUGUCCCAGGAACAUCUCUCCACGGAGGAGGCCCACUACUUCGUCAGAGAAUAAAGAACUGGCCUCAUGACAACUAUUUUUCUGCCAAGACAUCUGAUACAUGUUGACAAGGGCAUCCAAAGGGAGACUUCUGAUUUAUCAAAGAGUUUGAAUGUAGAGAAUGAUGUGUAUCCCAAAGAAGGUUUUAGAUUCUCUCCUCCACCUUCUACAAGAAGAAUUAUAAAUCUGGAUAGCAAGCAGUAGCAAAAAGAUAUAGACUGCAUACCCAGGAGCUCUGAGCGCAUCUGCAAUGGCCCUUCUCCUUUUCCCCUCCUGCACUUGGGAAAGAAUUGAGUCAAAAAAUGAACUGACAACAAACCUUGUCAGCUCCACCUUCAACACAUAUCCAGAAUUUUCGCCACCUGUACAGCCUCUACCCUGGCCUGAUCACCAUCAUCCUUUGCCUGGAUGAUUCUGCCUGUCUCCUUUUAGCUGACUUUCAACAAAGCAGUCAGAGAGAGCCUGUUAAGACAGGAGUCAGAAUUCUCCUGUAUUUCUGCUGGGCCAUGUACUGAGGAUGCAAGAGGCUUAUUUCUAUGACUUUGAUUCCUACUUUAGAUGCACAGAUUCUCUCCCCUGGAGAAGAAAUGAAACCAGAAAGAGACACAGGAUAAAAGGGGCACUCUGGGCUCAAUGACAGGUCAUCUUCCUGUUCGAAGCUGAGGUGCUCUGGCUCUUCCCUGGAGCCCCUGAGGUCCAGCAAUUACUCCUGCACCUGACUCUCUGCACUUGGGGUCCCUUUCUCCCAGAUGACAUGACUGGUUUCCUUCCUUGACUCUUGCACCAGUUCCUUGCUCUGGUAACUUGUGUAGGCUCUACCUGGCUUGGAGUCCUGCCUGGCUCUUGCCAGCUACCCUCUCCACACCUUGGCCACAGCUCUAGCCAUGGCCGGAGCCCGGCGAUCUGGGAACAGACCUCUCAGACACCAUCUGCUCUCUUCAUCUCGGGAACGGUGCCUGCCUAGGCUCUCUGCUGUUGUGCUCUGCCCACCUGCUGGCACUCCUCAAAACCCCUUCUUAGACUGCUGCCAAUAACCCCUUGGCCCAAGUCCUCAACUGAGAUUAAGGUAUCCCUUGGACAAGGCGAUUUACACUCUUGGCUGAAAACACAGCACUGUCUGCCACCUCUCAGCUCCAGUCCCUCCCUCUCAGACUGACUCCCCAGUGGCCUAUAGCUUAGGAGGAGCAGAAACAGUAGUAAUAUAAUGAAAAUGAUGACAAUUAUAGAAGUAAAACAAUCUACUACUUACUAAAUGCUAACUACAUGCCGGGCAAUGCAUAAGCAAAGCCCAGUACUUUUGUGUUUUUUUUGCCUUUUGUGCACAGAAUCAGAACAAAUUUCAGUUACCACAGUUUAGUUUAGUAACAUCAGUUCCCCAACAAUACAGUUCAAAUCUGUUACCAUAGUAUAUCAACUAUGAGUAACUAGAUAGUUACAAACUUCACUGUCGGGUUUUCAGUCCACAAACUGACUAAGCAGAUAACAGAUCCACAUCAUGAUCAGGGAUCAAUCGUGUCACUUCUCUGACUGUCUGUGUUUGGUCACUGGAUAGCUGUUACUCAGCUUAUGUACAGACAGAAGAGCAUGUCGUUGUGUUGUUUCCUUAAUUCCUGGUGAUAAACCCAUGUGAUAUUUACAAAAAUAGAUAAUAGAACUGGCCAACAAAGAUAAAAGUAUAGCAUUGGGGAUCUGAAUAAGAAGAUGCCACAGCAGGAGGUGCAGACUAGAUGUCUAACCUGGGAACUCACAAGGAUCCCUGUAAAUGCCAAUAAAGGAUAAAAACAUGCUGGAAAAAAAAAAGAGAAAAGUGUAGCAAAGGAACGAAAAGUGACAAUGGUGGGAGUGAAGUUCAAAUCAAAAAUAAACGGAGGUAGAGAAGAAACAGCUGGCAGUGGGACGACACUGUCACUAUUCAACUCUAGCUAUACAGCCAGAGAAAUCUAGGAAAGGUGACUUUCUGAACAUAAAUAAGGAAAGUGGUUGUGAUGAGAAGGAUGAAGAUGCUCCAGAGGAAGUGACAUGGGCAAAAAAUUCACAUUAAAGCAACUCUCAAAGAUAUUUCACGAUGUUGAAAGUGCAAAGGAUAAACUAUGGGAAGCUGAUCCAAACUCAGAAAGGAGCAUGACAAUUUGCCAAGGCACAUAACAGAGGCUCACUCCUUGAAGGAAGUUUUGUGACAAGAAGAUAAGCACUCAGAUACUCUUCGUGAGUUGUAUUAAAAAACAAAACAAAACAAAACAAAAUCCUAAAUAUUUAAUUUUCUAUGUUUCCAAUGUUUUAAAUUACAGUAUAACAAAUAAAUAUUAGGUCUACUAUUUUUUUUCAUUUCUUAAUAUAUUUAAAACCAACAGUCUAUAUUCAAUGUCUUAUAAUAAGCUAUAAUGAAAAAGAAUCUAAAAAGAAUGUGUAUGUAUAUGUAUAACUGAAUCGCUUUGCUGUACACCUGAAACUAACAUUGUAAAUCAA